This 468-nucleotide ribosomal RNA is filed under the name uncultured bacterium. Its description in RNAcentral is "partial 16S ribosomal RNA". It matches the Rfam family "Bacterial small subunit ribosomal RNA", at positions 28 to 507 of the family's 1533-position model. The record is from RNAcentral.
GACGAACGCUGGCGGCGUGCUUAACACAUGCAAGUCGAACGGUGAUGCUCCAGCUUGCUGGAGUGGAUCAGUGGCGAACGGGUGAGUAACACGUGAGCAACCUGCCCCAGACUCUGGAAUAAGCGCUGGAAACGGCGUCUAAUACUGGAUACGAAACUGGCCCGCAUGGGCAUGGUUUGGAAAGUUUUUCGGUUUGGGAUGGGCUCGCGGCCUAUCAGCUUGUUGGUGAGGUGAUGGCUCACCAAGGCGACGACGGGUAGCCGGCCUGAGAGGGCGACCGGCCACACUGGGACUGAGACACGGCCCAGACUCCUACGGGAGGCAGCAGUGGGGAAUAUUGCACAAUGGGCGAAAGCCUGAUGCAGCGACGCCGCGUGAGGGAUGACGGCCUUCGGGUUGUAAACCUCUUUCAGCAGGGAAGAAGCGAAAGUGACGGUACCUGCAGAAGAAGCACCGGCUAACUACGUG